Molecule: unclassified non-coding RNA, 1439 nt
Filed under: uncultured Neocallimastigales
Lineage: Eukaryota; Fungi; Neocallimastigomycota; Neocallimastigomycetes; Neocallimastigales
Description: partial contains small subunit ribosomal RNA, internal transcribed spacer 1, 5.8S ribosomal RNA, internal transcribed spacer 2, and large subunit ribosomal RNA
Rfam family: Eukaryotic large subunit ribosomal RNA (bases 661-1439)
Source: RNAcentral
UUUCCGUAGGUGAACCUGCGGAAGGAUCAUUAAAAAAUUGGACUCCAUUGGUGAGUUCAUUAAUAAUCCCUACCCUUUGUGAAUUUGUUUGUUUGAAUAAUUUUUUUUCCAAAAAAAAUUAUUGAAUGUCUUUCCUUGUUUUGGUGGAGCUUGUAAAGUGAAACCAGGCAGGGGAAUGGCAAACAAUAAUUAUUUUUGAAAAAGACCUUUUUUUAAAAUUAAACUUUUUGUAUUCAUUUGUCUAAAAUUAAUUUUUAUAAUAUAAAAACAACUUUUGACAAUGGAUCUCUUGGUUCUCGCAACGAUGAAGAACGCAGCAAAAUGCGAUAAGUAGUGUGAAUUGCAGAAUACGUGAAUCAUCGAAUCUUCGAACGCAUAUUGCACUUUUUUAGUUUACUAAAAAAGUAUGUCUGUUUGAGUAUCAGUAAAAUAUUCUCAUAAAAAACAUUGUUUUUUUUAUGGUUAUGAGUGUUUUACAACGAUAACAAGUUGUUUCACUUUAAAUUCUUUGUUAUCAAAAAAAUCAUUAAAAGCUAAUUUUAAAGAUUUUUUAAAAUUGGAUAAAAUUUUCCCGUAAAAAGGAAUAACCUAAACAAUUUUAAAAAAUUAAAAUUGGUUUGAUUUUUUUUGAAACCCAAAGGAAAAAAAACGAAAUUAACUUGAUCUCAAAUCAGAUAAGAGUACCCGCUGAACUUAAGCAUAUCAAUAAGCGGAGGAAAAGAAACUAACUAGGAUUCCCUCAGUAACGGCGAGUGAAGCGGGAAGAGCUCAAAUUUGAAAUCUUCAAGGUUUUACCUUGACGAAUUGUAGUUUAAAGAAGUGUUUUCUGUUGGAGUUUUGGUAAAAGUUCUUUGGAAAAGGACAUCAUAGAGGGUGAGAAUCCCGUAUUUGACCAUUAUCUCCAGCUUUGUGAUACACUUUCAAAGAGUCGGAUUGUUUGGGAAUGCAGUCCAAAAUGGGUGGUAAAUUUCAUCUAAAGCUAAAUACUGGCGAGAGACCGAUAGCGAACAAGUACCGUGAGGGAAAGAUGAAAAGAACUUUGAAAAGAGAGUUAAACAGUACGUGAAAUUGUCAAAAGGGAAGCGUUUGACACCAGUGUUGUUUUCUCGAAAAUCAAUUAAAAAAGGCCGGAUUUUGUGUUGUAUUGACUUUAUCAGCUUUCUGCACUCUUUUCUUGUCUUUUUUAAUGCACUUUUCGUUUAACAAGUCAACAUCAAUUUCUUUUGUUGUAAAAGGGUCAUUGGAAGGUGGCUUUCUUUUCGGAGAAAGUGUUUAUAGCCUUUGGCCUCUGCAAUCGGAGAGAUUGAGGUCUGCAGCGUAGAUCCUUCGGGUUAGAUACAUUUGUGCUAAGUUAUAGCCUUUCAUAGACAACUUGUUGACUAUGAUCAGUCAUGUAGCUUACUCGCUUAUGCUAUUUUACCUACGCUUAGGAUGUUGAG